This 170-nucleotide unclassified non-coding RNA is filed under the name uncultured Sordariomycetes. RNAcentral's name for it is "sequence contains ITS1". Lineage: Eukaryota; Fungi; Ascomycota; Sordariomycetes. The record is from RNAcentral.
CAGGAAUCGCAAGAUCCCCUGAAACCACCGUGAACCUACCGAAACGUUGCCUCGGCGGGCGCUGCGGGACGGCCCCCCGCGGCCCGUCCCGCGGCACCCCAGCCCGCCGGCGGCCCAACAUACUCUGUCUCUUCAGCGUUGGCAUCUCCGAGCAAAGAAAAAAUGAGUCA